Molecule: ribosomal RNA, 465 nt
Filed under: uncultured bacterium
Lineage: Bacteria
Description: partial 16S ribosomal RNA
Rfam family: Bacterial small subunit ribosomal RNA
Source: RNAcentral
GACGAACGCUGGCGGCGUGCUUAACACAUGCAAGUCGAACGGAAAGGCCCUGCUUGCAGGGUACUCGAGUGGCGAACGGGUGAGUAACACGUGGGUGAUCUGCCCUGCACUUCGGGAUAAGCCUGGGAAACUGGGUCUAAUACCGGAUAGGAGCCAUUUUUAGUGGGAUGGUUGGAAAGUUUUUUCGGUGUUGGAUGAGCUCGCGGCCUAUCAGCUUGUUGGUGGGGUAAUGGCCUACCAAGGCGGCUUCGGGUGGCCGGCCUGAGGGGGUGGACGGCCACAUUGGGACUGAGGUACGGCCCAGACUCCUACGGGAGGCAGCAGUGGGGAAUAUUGCACGAUGGGCGCAAGCCUGAUGCAGCGACGCCGCGUGGGGGAUGACGGCCUUCGGGUUGUAAACUCCUUUCGCAAGGGACGAAGCUUUUUGUGACGGUACCUAGAUAAGAAGCACCGGCUAACUACGUG